UUCCAAUACCCCCCCCCCUCUCAUCCACACACACACACACAGUAUUAUCAUUGCAGUUGUGUGCGAGUGAUUGCGGUGAAAGUGCCUGUGUUUGUUGUGGCACCUUGAUUGUUUUUUUACCUCUGUGUUUUUUUUCUUCAAUUGUGUGUGUGACCGCGUCAUUUACGCAACCUGUGGAAGAAGAAAAAGGAAUCCACUCGUUGACUUGGCUAUAAAAAAGGCGGCCGUAAAAAACGAAGGGGGGAUAGUAUGGGUAGGUAUAAACCCACUGUUAAUUGAGGUGGAGUUGAAUUACGUGAAAGAUGAACAACAAAGAGACAAGUGAAGUGGAGGAGCUCCUGCGAAAAGAAAACGAUUUUGAGGUACGUUGUGUUAUUUAAAAAAAGUCUGACGAGUAAUGCAAUGCUACAUUUGCAUACGGGAUCCUCGGAAGACAAGAAAUGGAGGAUCACCGAGUUUCCGAACAUACUCUAUCAGUGCACCUAUCCAGCUGAGUGGUGCUACUUUUCCUCAGAUAGGAAGUCCAAUAUGGGUCGCCAUUACACGAUCGGCUCCUCUUGCUCCU
Daphnia pulicaria is the source of this 565-nucleotide long non-coding RNA. RefSeq lists it as uncharacterized. The record is from RefSeq and is a predicted model, not a curated record. Lineage: Eukaryota; Metazoa; Arthropoda; Branchiopoda; Diplostraca; Daphniidae. The transcript has 3 exons.